RNAcentral lists this long non-coding RNA (542 nucleotides) under Vulpes vulpes (red fox). Its description in RNAcentral is "lncRNA (ENSVVUG00000018285.1)". The record is from RNAcentral. Lineage: Eukaryota; Metazoa; Chordata; Mammalia; Carnivora; Canidae.
AACAAAAGUGAGAGCCGUGGCCGGGGGACGCUGGACCUCGGCGAGCCGGGGUGAUCGAAGGGGAGGAGUCCGGCCGGGGGGGCCCAGCGCCGCUCUAGGGCGGGUCCUUUGCCCCCGCCCGCCCCCGAGGGACGGUGAAUCCCCGGGCGGGUGAGACCUGGCGGCGUGAGCGGCGGCCCCCCCGCGCAGUGUCGCCCCCGAAACGGCCACCGGCGCCCCGGGCGCAGACAGCGGGGCCGCUGCCCGCCGCGGAAGCCCCUGCCUUUCCCCCAAAGCUUCCUGCCCGGCCGGGAUGGGACUCCGGGCUGCUGCUGCCCGACGCCUGCCGUCCUGGUGAACACAAUCGAGCAAGGGCAGUGAAGCAAAAAUCAUUAGGUAAGCAAGAUAAUCUAAGCGGAAUCUGCUGCCUGCGCUCACAUCUGGGGGCAGGUUGCGCAGCUGGGGCGGCUCUUCCUGCCCUGCAGCGCCUUUGUACGUGUGCUCGGGUAUAUACACUCGUUGGGUUGGAGAUGCGCAGCCUUGCGACAGGUUUUAGGAGAUAA